Balaenoptera acutorostrata (minke whale) is the source of this 613-nucleotide long non-coding RNA. RefSeq lists it as uncharacterized. NCBI's taxonomy places the organism in Eukaryota, Metazoa, Chordata, Mammalia, Artiodactyla, Balaenopteridae. The transcript is spliced from 3 exons. The record is from RefSeq and is a predicted model, not a curated record.
CCCAGUGGAAGAGUCACCUCAGAAGGUCUGUCCUUAAUGUUAUAAAUUCACAGGCUCCUCCCCUAGGGUUGCCAGAUUUAGCAAAUAAACAUACUGGAUGCCCAGCUGAACUUGAAUUUCAGAUGAACAAAGUAAUAUGGCACGUGACAAAUUUACACAAAAAAGGAUUUUUUGUUUAUUUUAAAUUCAAAUGUAAAUGGUUUAAAUAUAAUCUGGUAACCCUACACAUGGAGGGAUCUGGAGGGGAACCAAGGUGCUCCAGUCAACCAGCGCAGCUGAGCCCCUAGCAGAAGCCAGAACCCAUGCUCAUCCCUGGGAGUGAGCUCUCUCAGAUGCACCAGCCUAACGGAGCCUCCAGCUGAUGGCAGCCCCAGACGAGGCUCCACGGCCGUCGUGCUUGUGAAGGGAAGGAGAGGUACUGCUACAAACUGCUCCCUGCGGCCCAUGGAAAGCCGUGUCCUCAGAAGAUGCCUUGCUCCUCAUGCUGGUGGCCUUGCUCAUAUCAGGUGUCUGAAGGAGGCAGGUUCUGAGCAUCUGUGUCCUGAUGGCUGCUGGAGCUUCUACUCCAGGUUCAAGGGCAGGAGAGCCCAACACUUCACAUCUUUCUUUGGAG